CGGGUGAGUAAUGUCUGGGAAACUGCCUGAUGGAGGGGGAUAGCUACUGGAAACGGUAGCUAAUACCGCAUAACGUCGCAAGACCAAAGAGGGGGACCUUCGGGCCUCUUGCCAUCGGAUGUGCCCAGAUGGGAUUAGCUAGUAGGUGGGGUAACGGCUCACCUAGGCGACGAUCCCUAGCUGGUCUGAGAGGAUGACCAGCCACACUGGAACUGAGACACGGUCCAG
This 228-nucleotide ribosomal RNA is filed under the name uncultured bacterium. Its description in RNAcentral is "partial 16S ribosomal RNA". It matches the Rfam family "Bacterial small subunit ribosomal RNA", at positions 103 to 334 of the family's 1533-position model. The record is from RNAcentral.